RNAcentral lists this ribosomal RNA (465 nucleotides) under uncultured Klebsiella sp. RNAcentral describes it as "bacterial SSU rRNA". It matches the Rfam family "Bacterial small subunit ribosomal RNA", at positions 338 to 795 of the family's 1533-position model. Lineage: Bacteria; Pseudomonadati; Pseudomonadota; Gammaproteobacteria; Enterobacterales; Enterobacteriaceae. The record is from RNAcentral.
CCUACGGGCGGCUGCAGUGGGGAAUAUUGCACAAUGGGCGCAAGCCUGAUGCAGCCAUGCCGCGUGAGUGAAGAAGGCCUUCGGGUUGUAAAGCACUUUCAGCGGGGAGGAAGGCGGUGAGGUUAAUAACCUCAUCGAUUGACGUUACCCGCAGAAGAAGCACCGGCUAACUCCGUGCCAGCAGCCGCGGUAAUACGGAGGGUGCAAGCGUUAAUCGGAAUUACUGGGCGUAAAGCGCACGCAGGCGGUCUGUCAAGUCGGAUGUGAAAUCCCCGGGCUCAACCUGGGAACUGCAUUCGAAACUGGCAGGCUAGAGUCUUGUAGAGGGGGGUAGAAUUCCAGGUGUAGCGGUGAAAUGCGUAGAGAUCUGGAGGAAUACCGGUGGCGAAGGCGGCCCCCUGGACAAAGACUGACGCUCAGGUGCGAAAGCGUGGGGAGCAAACAGGAUUAGAUACCCGAGUAGUC